CCUACGGGGGGCAGCAGUGAGGAAUAUUGGUCAAUGGGCGCGAGCCUGAACCAGCCAAGUCGCGUGAGGGAGGACGGCCCUACGGGUUGUAAACCUCUUUUGUCGGGGAGCAACGGGUGUCACGUGUGGCGCCACUGAGAGUACCCGGAGAUAAAGCACCGGCUAACUCCGUGCCAGCAGCCGCGGUAAUACGGAGGGGCCAAGCGUUACCCGGAUUUAUUGGGUUUAAGGGGUGCGUAGGGGGUUUGAUAAGUUAGGGGUGAAAUGUCCGAGCUUAACUCGGGAACUGCCACUAAUACUGUUGAUCUAGAGAGUAGAUGCGGUAGGCGGAAUGUAUGGUGUAGCGGUGAAAUGCUUAGAGAUCAUACAGAACACCGAUUGCGAAGGCAGCUUACCAAUCUAUAUCUGACGUUGAGGCACGAAAGCGUGGGGAGCGAACAGGAUUAGAUACCCGUGUAGUC
Molecule: ribosomal RNA, 461 nt
Filed under: uncultured bacterium
Lineage: Bacteria
Description: partial 16S ribosomal RNA
Rfam family: Bacterial small subunit ribosomal RNA
Source: RNAcentral